UCCACCGCGGAGCUGAUGCCACGCCUCCCAUAUAUGCACCGUGGAGCUGAUUUUGUUUGAUUCAAGGAAAGUGGUGUUGAAGCUGUUGUGUGUGUGUGUACACUGAUUUUGAAAAGAGUUGAGGUUUACUUACGGGGGUGUAUUCGAUUGGGAUUUUAAUGCAUUGUUUUUAGUCUAUGAAUUUUAAUGGAUUGUAUGGGAUUUUGAUUUUGUGCGGAUUGUUGAUGAAAUGUCGCAGAGUUGAUAGGAUUUAGGUACAAUGCUUCAAAAUCCCAUUGAAUUUGGUGGGAUUUCAAAAAACUUAAAAUACACUGAAGAAUGCCACAAAAUCCAUCAUUUUAUGAAAUGAAAAAAAAUCCAUCAGCAUUUGAAUACCAUCAGAUUUUAAUGGAUUUUAAACAAUCCCAAUUGAAUACCAUCGGAUUUUAAAGCAUAAUUUAAAAUCCCAAUUGAAUACCACCAGAUUUUGUAGCAUAAUUUAAAAUCCCAAUUGAAUACCUCAAGAUUUUAAUGGAUUUCAAACAAUCCCAAUCGAAUACCCUCGGAUUUCAUAAAUGCAAAAAAAUGCUUUAAAAUCCCAAUCCAAUACACCCCUCUUAAAGAGAUAGAGAUGGAUUCAGCUGCACUUAAGUACGACAAACGCUCAGACUCACUUGCCCAUUGAUGACGCGUCAUUAUACUAACGAAC
RNAcentral lists this long non-coding RNA (688 nucleotides) under Daucus carota (carrot). RNAcentral's name for it is "long non-coding RNA (DCAR_LNC000512)". Lineage: Eukaryota; Viridiplantae; Streptophyta; Magnoliopsida; Apiales; Apiaceae. The record is from RNAcentral.